RNA transcript from Brassica napus (rape), 1015 nucleotides. RefSeq lists it as uncharacterized. Lineage: Eukaryota; Viridiplantae; Streptophyta; Magnoliopsida; Brassicales; Brassicaceae. The transcript has 3 exons. The record is from RefSeq and is a predicted model, not a curated record.
AAGUCAUAACCACACAGAACAAAUUCCAAAUUCAAUUAAAUAUAUAAAUACAAAAUAAUUGAUCUCCUAGUCGGGGUUUCUCUUAUAAAAUAUUUAUUUAUUUAAUUUAUUUGGAAAAUUAAAAUAACAAAUAAUUAAUAAUAAUAUGGGGAUGUCUAAAAGUAUCAAAGUUAUUUUCUCUCUUGCUCUUAUAGUGUUCUUGGCUCUUGCAGCAACCAAGAUAGAUGCAAGAUACAUAGAUUAUCAUUCCCUUAGAGGUGGAGAUCACGGUUUCGGUUGUAGUAAAUUACACCCUAUCUUCUGCAAGAAGGAAGAAGCCAAUCCUUACACCAGAGGUUGCGAGCCUGGCCAACAUUGCCGUGACGAUCUAGGCGAAAAAAUCUACAUAAUGGCUGCUGGAUAUCAAUCUUUGGAACCAUCAAUCAACUGCCCAGCCCCCAAACCUCCACAAAAGCACCACCGCAAAGUAUGUGUAUGCUGGAAUCAGAGGAGCAGCAUGUGUGAACUUCUUCGGACAGUGACUAGGAGCAGCAUGUGUGAACUUCUUGGUGAUUCUUGACGAUCAAACGCUAUCAGCAUAGUUAUGCUUAAAGUGAACACCAUCGACAUCACCUGAGCUGUGGAGAGAACGCCUGGGCAAGCGACCAGCACUAACCUUCUUAACACACCGUCAAACCCACCGAUUUGGACACCACAACCAAGACGGAGCACCGAGCGACCCCACUCCGCAAGAUCUCGAAACCAAAACUCCUCCACACCUUCCCCGCCAUCCUCGAAUGGGAUCCUCACCUGGAAGGAGAAAUGCGGUCUCCCGCUUCUGUGUGAUAACCGUCGCUCGUCGCUCCCCUGUAGCUCGCCGGAUCCUCCCGUGGUUUUUGCUUUAGUUUUUUGUUUUUGUUUUCGUGGAAACCAUUUUUUAUCCAAUCAAUCAAGUUUUAGGUUUUUGUUUUUGUUUUUGUAAAAACUAUUUGAAUUGCAAAUCAAGAUUUUCAAUAAAUAGAUUUCUUAAAAUCUA